CGACGGCCAGCAUUUUUGUAGCCAUAGAAGAGAUGGCGACCGGCGCACGGGUGAGUAACACGUAUCCAACCUACCGAUAACUCCGGGAUAGCCUUUCGAAAGAAAGAUUAAUACCGGAUAGUAUACGAAUAUCGCAUGAUAUUUUUAUUAAAGAAUUUCGGUUAUCGAUGGGGAUGCGUUCCAUUAGUUUGUUGGCGGGGUAACGGCCCACCAAGACUACGAUGGAUAGGGGUUCUGAGAGGAAGGUCCCCCACAUUGGAACUGAGACACGGUCCAAACUCCUACGGGAGGCAGCAGUGAGGAAUAUUGGUCAAUGGACGAGAGUCUGAACCAGCCAAGUAGCGUGAAGGAUGACUGCUCUAUGGGUCGUAAACUUCUUUUAUAUGGGAAUAAAGUAUUCCACGUGUGGAAUUUUGUAUGUACCAUAUGAAUAAGGAUCGGCUAACUCCGUGCCAGCAGCCGCGGUAAUACGGAGGAUCCGAGCGUUAUCCGGAUUUAUUGGGUUUAAAGGGAGCGUAGGUGGAUUGUUAAGUCAGUUGUGAAAGUUUGCGGCUCAACCGUAAAAUUGCAGUUGAAACUGGGAGUCUUGAGUACAGUAGAGGUGGGCGGAAUCGUGGUUAGCGG
Molecule: ribosomal RNA, 624 nt
Filed under: Bacteroides sp.
Lineage: Bacteria; Pseudomonadati; Bacteroidota; Bacteroidia; Bacteroidales; Bacteroidaceae
Description: bacterial SSU rRNA
Rfam family: Bacterial small subunit ribosomal RNA
Source: RNAcentral